GUGCCCCUUCCUUCAAGGCCUGGAGUCACAGAUUUCUUGGGCUAGCACGCCCGCCAGCAGGUUUUUGGCUGGGAACUCAGCCCUUCGGCCAGGCGACCAUCUUUUAGUCCCACUCCUUCCUGGUUCGCGCUCAUCCCAAACGAAAAGUCAAAAAAUGUCUUUAACUGAAACAAGAUCCUCUGUCCCUUGGGGGCUUUUCCUCAGCCUGACUUUGGCUCGGCCUGCCCUUGCUGGCCUUGGUAGCCCUUUCUAUGGCCCUGUACAUCCCCUUCCUUAGAGACCGUGGGAGAACCAUUCCUACCCUGGAUUCUAGGUUCUGCCCCAAGGCCCUGUACCCAACAGCUAGGCCUGCUCCUGGACCUUUGUUGCGGUUUCCCCUGGUUUCCCCUCAGCUGGAGCUCACUCUGUAAUCCAUUUGGCCUAGCUCCAGGCUUUAUAGCCCACAGGCCAAGCCCCCUGUUAUAUACCCUCCUCCUUAGAACCUGGCCCACGCGGGGGCAAGUUCUAUUCUUCUCCAAGCUUCAUCCCUCCUCAUCUCAUCGCUGUCACCGGCUGCGCGCUUGUACAGCCUGUGCGCAGUGUCUGCAGCUCCACUGCCAGCUCGCUCGGGGCAAACCUUCUCUUCUGCAGUAUCCCCACGCUCUUCCUGCAGCCACUCAGUCUCAUGAACAGCUGCUUGCAGAGCCUCUUCUGAAGCCUUUAGCGUCUUCUGUUGCCUUUUUGCUACUGCCGCUGCAUCUGCCAAAACCUUUUCGGUCAGGGUCUGAGAACCCACCAUGGACUGCUCCACCCUUGAGUUUGUCCCUCCUCCAGUCUGCUUCAUCUCUGGGCCAAUCAUUUCGUCCUUCAUCUCCCUGCAGCACCCGACAGGGUGUGUUGGUGGGGGGUCUGCAAGGUCCAUGGCCACCCCAGCCACCUCCACCUUGCCUGCCUCAUGGGGGUUUGUGUCAGAGGACACCUUCUCCUUUCUUUCUAACUUCUUAGGGCCCUGGCCCCUCGUUCAGCCACUCA
RNAcentral lists this long non-coding RNA (1011 nucleotides) under Chrysemys picta bellii (western painted turtle). RNAcentral describes it as "lncRNA (ENSCPBG00000000124.1)". The record is from RNAcentral. Lineage: Eukaryota; Metazoa; Chordata; Testudines; Emydidae.